GGUACGAUGCGCCUAAUCCGCUUUCGCAAGGAAGUGUGUAUUGGAGCGUAUCUGCCAUCCUUCUAGUUAACUGGCUGUACUUAACUGUGCGGUCAGCGACCUAGAUCUUUUACUUUGAAAAAAUUAGAGUGUUUAAAGCAGGCUUGCGCUAUGAAUACAUUAGCAUGGAAUAAUAAUUUAGGACUUUUCUCCUAUUUUAUUGGUUUCUAGGGGUAAAGUA
RNAcentral lists this ribosomal RNA (220 nucleotides) under uncultured fungus. RNAcentral's name for it is "partial small subunit ribosomal RNA". The stretch from base 93 to 220 matches the Rfam family "Eukaryotic small subunit ribosomal RNA", at positions 735 to 864 of the family's 1831-position model. The record is from RNAcentral. Lineage: Eukaryota; Fungi.